RNAcentral lists this ribosomal RNA (441 nucleotides) under uncultured bacterium. Its description in RNAcentral is "partial 16S ribosomal RNA". It matches the Rfam family "Bacterial small subunit ribosomal RNA", at positions 338 to 795 of the family's 1533-position model. The record is from RNAcentral.
CCUACGGGAGGCAGCAGUGGGGAAUAUUGCACAAUGGGGGAAACCCUGAUGCAGCGACGCCGCGUGGGUGAAGGAGCGUUUCGGCGAGUAAAGCCCUAUCGGCAGGGAAGAAGGAGGACGGUACCUGACUAAGAAGCCCCGGCUAACUACGUGCCAGCAGCCGCGGUAAUACGUAGGGGGCAAGCGUUAUCCGGAUUUACUGGGUGGAAAGGGGGCGCAGACGGCAGCGCAAGCCAGGAGUGAAAGCCCGGGGCCCAACCCCGGGACGGCUCUUGGAACUGCGCGGCUGGAGUGCAGGAGGGGCAGGCGGAAUUCCUGGUGUAGCGGUGAAAUGCGUAGAUAUCAGGAGGAACACCGGUGGCGAAGGCGGCCUGCUGGACUGCGACUGACGUUGAGGCCCGAAAGCGUGGGGAGCAAACAGGAUUAGAUACCCUGGUAGUC